UACGUAGGGGGCAAGCGUUGUCCGGAUUUAUUGGGCGUAAAGAGCGUGUAGGCGGCCAAGCAGGUCCGCUGUGAAAACUCGAGGCUCAACCUCGAGACGUCGGUGGAAACCGUUUGGCUAGAGUCCGGAAGAGGAGAGUGGAAUUCCCGGUGUAGCGGUGAAAUGCGCAGAUAUCGGGAAGAACACCUGUGGCGAAGGCGGCUCUCUGGGACGGUACUGACGCUGAGACGCGAAAGCGUGGGGAGCGAACAGG
Molecule: ribosomal RNA, 253 nt
Filed under: uncultured bacterium
Lineage: Bacteria
Description: partial 16S ribosomal RNA
Rfam family: Bacterial small subunit ribosomal RNA
Source: RNAcentral